RNAcentral lists this ribosomal RNA (1060 nucleotides) under Arachnocrea stipata. RNAcentral describes it as "eukaryotic LSU rRNA". It matches the Rfam family "Eukaryotic large subunit ribosomal RNA", at positions 78 to 1166 of the family's 3401-position model. The record is from RNAcentral. Lineage: Eukaryota; Fungi; Ascomycota; Sordariomycetes; Hypocreales; Hypocreaceae.
CCCCAGUAACGGCGAGUGAAGCGGCAACAGCUCAAAUUUGAAAUCUGGCCCCUCGGGGCCCGAGUUGUAAUUUGCAGAGGAUGCUUUUGGCGAGGCGCCGCCCGAGUUCCCUGGAACGGGACGCCACAGAGGGUGAGAGCCCCGUCUGGCUGGCCGCCGAGCCUCUGUAAAGCUCCUUCGACGAGUCGAGUAGUUUGGGAAUGCUGCUCAAAAUGGGAGGUAUAUGUCUUCUAAAGCUAAAUACCGGCCAGAGACCGAUAGCGCACAAGUAGAGUGAUCGAAAGAUGAAAAGCACUUUGAAAAGAGAGUUAAAUAGCACGUGAAAUUGUUGAAAGGGAAGCGCUCGUGACCAGACUUGGGCUUGGCGAAUCAUCCGGGGUGAUCCCCGGUGCACUUCGCCUCGUCCAGGCCAGCAUCAGUUCGCCGCGGGGGAUAAAGGCGUCGGGAACGUGGCUCCUCCGGGAGUGUUAUAGCCCGUCGCGCAAUACCCCACGGCGGACUGAGGACCGCGCAUCUUGCAAGGAUGCUGGCGUAAUGGUCACCGGCGACCCGUCUUGAAACACGGACCAAGGAGUCGUCUUCGUAUGCGAGUGUUCGGGUGUCAAACCCCUACGCGUAAUGAAAGUGAACGCAGGUGAGAGCUUCGGCGCAUCAUCGACCGAUCCUGAUGUUCUCGGAUGGAUUUGAGUAAGAGCAUACGGGGCCGGACCCGAAAGAAGGUGAACUAUGCCUGUAUAGGGUGAAGCCAGAGGAAACUCUGGUGGAGGCUCGCAGCGGUUCUGACGUGCAAAUCGAUCGUCAAAUAUGGGCAUGGGGGCGAAAGACUAAUCGAACCUUCUAGUAGCUGGUUUCCGCCGGAGUUUCCCUCAGGRUAGCAGUGUUGAACUCAGUUUUAUGAGGUAAAGCGAAUGAUUAGGGACCCGGGGGCGCUAUUUAGCCUUCAUCCAUUCUCAAACUUUAAAUAUGUCAGAAGCCCUUGUUGCUUAAUUGAACGUGGGCAUUCGAAUGUAUCAACACUAGUGGGCCAUUUUUGGUAAGCAGAACUGGCGAUGCGGGAUGA